GCCACACCUCCCCUUCUUUUCCUCCUCCUUUGCCCAAUCUCUCCUAGUACAAAAACAUAGCAUCCUUGGAAGUCAAAUACGACAAUAUAGUGUGCAAUGCAACUUGAGUUACUGUACAAAGCCUCCAACCAUGUGAGUCACUAAAAUGCAUAAAUAUUUUCCAUCAAGUUAGCUCAAAUGGCUAAUGAAGAAGGCAAUUG
RNAcentral lists this long non-coding RNA (200 nucleotides) under Elaeis guineensis (African oil palm). RNAcentral describes it as "long non-coding RNA (EGUI_LNC023226)". The record is from RNAcentral. Lineage: Eukaryota; Viridiplantae; Streptophyta; Magnoliopsida; Arecales; Arecaceae.